This 255-nucleotide ribosomal RNA is filed under the name uncultured bacterium. RNAcentral describes it as "partial 16S ribosomal RNA". It matches the Rfam family "Bacterial small subunit ribosomal RNA", at positions 524 to 776 of the family's 1533-position model. The record is from RNAcentral.
UACGGGGGGAGCAAGCGUUGUUCGGAUUUACUGGGCGUAAAGGGCGCGUAGGCGGCCACCGCAAGUCAGUUGUGAAAGCUCUGGGCUUAACCCAGAAAGGUCAACUGAUACUGCGGGGCUAGAGUGCAGAAGGGGCAACUGGAAUUCUCGGUGUAGCGGUGAAAUGCGUAGAUAUCGAGAGGAACACCUGCGGCGAAGGCGGGUUGCUGGGCUGACACUGACGCUGACAGCGCGAAAGCUAGGGGAGCGAACGGG